AGAGUUUGAUCCUGGCUCAGGAUGAACGCUAGCGACAGGCUUAACACAUGCAAGUCGAGGGGCAGCAUAAAAGUAGCAAUACUUGGUGGCGACCGGCGCACGGGUGAGUAACGCGUAUGCAACCUACCUAUCAGAGGGGAAUAACCCGGCGAAAGUCGGACUAAUACCGCAUAAAACAGGGGCACCGCAUGGUGAUAUUUGUUAAAGAAAUUCGCUGAUAGAUGGGCAUGCGUUCCAUUAGGUAGUUGGUGAGGUAACGGCUCACCAAGCCGACGAUGGAUAGGGGAACUGAGAGGUUGGUCCCCCACACUGGUACUGAGACACGGACCAGACUCCUACGGGAGGCAGCAGUGAGGAAUAUUGGUCAAUGGGCGGGAGCCUGAACCAGCCAAGUCCGCGUGAAGGAAGAAGGAUCUAUGGUUCGUAAACUUCUUUUGCAGGGGAAUAAAGUGCAGGACGUGUCCUGUUUUGUAUGUACCCUGAGAAUAAGGAUCGGCUAACCCCGUGCCAGCCGCCGC
RNAcentral lists this ribosomal RNA (518 nucleotides) under uncultured bacterium. Its description in RNAcentral is "bacterial SSU rRNA". It matches the Rfam family "Bacterial small subunit ribosomal RNA", at positions 8 to 518 of the family's 1533-position model. The record is from RNAcentral.